RNAcentral lists this ribosomal RNA (497 nucleotides) under uncultured bacterium. Its description in RNAcentral is "partial 16S ribosomal RNA". It matches the Rfam family "Bacterial small subunit ribosomal RNA", at positions 28 to 507 of the family's 1533-position model. The record is from RNAcentral.
GAUGAACGCUGGCGGCGUGCCUAAUACAUGCAAGUCGAGCGAACAGACGAGGAGCUUGCUCCUCGGACGUUAGCGGCGGACGUGUGAGUAACACGUGGAUAACCUCCCUAUAAGACUGGUAUAACUUCGGGAAACCGGAGCUAAUACCGGAUAAUAUAUUGAACCGCAUGGUUCAAUAGUGAAAGACGGUUUUGCUGUCACUUAUAGAUGGAUCCGCGCCGCAUUAGCUAGUUGGUAAGGUAACGGCUUACCAAGGCAACUAUGCGUAGCCGACUUGAGAGGGUGAUCGGCCACACGGGAACAGAGACACUGACCAGACUCCUAGGGGAGGCAGCAGUAGGGAAUCUUGCGCAAUGGGCGAAAGCGUGACGGAGUAACGCAGCGUGAGUGAGGAAGGGCUUGGGAUCGUAAAAUUCUGUUAUUAGGGAGGAACAAAUGUGUAAGUAACUAUGCACGUCUUGACGGUACCUAAUCAGAAAGCCACGGCUAACUACGUG